GCCUGGCUGGCUCAGCUGGUAGAGCAUGUGGCUCUUAAUCUCAAGUUUGUAUGUUCAAGGCCCAUGCUGGGUG
Molecule: transfer RNA, 73 nt
Filed under: Ailuropoda melanoleuca (giant panda)
Lineage: Eukaryota; Metazoa; Chordata; Mammalia; Carnivora; Ursidae
Rfam family: tRNA
About the family: Transfer RNA (tRNA) molecules are approximately 80 nucleotides in length. Their secondary structure includes four short double-helical elements and three loops (D, anti-codon, and T loops). Further hydrogen bonds mediate the characteristic L-shaped molecular structure. tRNAs have two regions of fundamental functional importance: the anti-codon, which is responsible for specific mRNA codon recognition, and the 3' end, to which the tRNAs corresponding amino acid is attached (by aminoacyl-tRNA synthetases). tRNAs cope with the degeneracy of the genetic code in two manners: having more than one tRNA (with a specific anti-codon) for a particular amino acid; and 'wobble' base-pairing, i.e. permitting non-standard base-pairing at the 3rd anti-codon position.
Source: Rfam by way of RNAcentral